CGUGGCAAAGGUGCUGCGAUGCG
RNAcentral lists this microRNA (23 nucleotides) under Ascaris suum (pig roundworm). RNAcentral's name for it is "asu-miR-43b-5p". Its record names the gene asu-miR-43b-5p. The record is from miRBase by way of RNAcentral. Lineage: Eukaryota; Metazoa; Nematoda; Chromadorea; Rhabditida; Ascarididae.